UUCAACCAAUUAAUCAAACGUACUCGAUACCAAAACGUAUAGGGUGGGCAGCCUUAGUAUCGAUUGUCUGAAAUUCGGAAACCAAAACCCUAGUUUUUCAAUUGGAUUGAAUUUACCCCCUUUUCUUGUCCAAUUCUCACUACCAAUCAACAAUGGCGGACGCUUUCUGGAGGUACGGUGAUAACAGGCAGCCGGCGGUGUCGCUUCCAGCUCAGAUGGCUGCGAAACGGACUCGUUCCGAGUUUGAGAUGCCAAGUGGACAAGACACAUCAAGCUACUAUACACCCGGCAAUGAAAGGCCAGGAAAUGUUGUCUCUAGAGAUACUGACUCUGUCAAUGCAUCAUAUGAACGCUACUUGCGUAGUUUGCAAGUUCCAUCAUAUGGUGGUCAAACUGGAAGACCUGGUACUGGUGGGCUUGAUGGUGUUCAUGAAAUUGAUGAUCUUAGGGUCCUAGGAAUGGUACAAUCAGGCCCAGCAGCUGCUCCACAAAGCCGGUUAAUGGGAGUGGGUGGACGACCUGAAAUUUCACUCCCUCCUGAUGCUAGCAGCACAUUGUUUGUGGAGGGAUUACCUGCGAACUGUACUCGCAGAGAAGUGUCUCACAUAUUCCGCCCUUUUGUGGGCUACAAGGAAGUAAGGCUUGUAAACAAAGCACCAAGAAAUCCUGGGGGAGAUCCUGUGGUGCUUUGCUUUGUUGAUUUUGAGAGUCCAGCUCACGCGGCAACAGCAAUGGAUGCUCUGCAAGGUUACAUAUUUGAUGAGCACGAGCGGGAUUCAGGCCACUUAAGGGUUCAAUUUGCCCGCAAUCCUCCUGGUCCAAGGUUAGGUGGUGGGCAUCGUGGUAACCGUUGAGAUUGGUUUGACAGGUAUUAGAAUCAAAUAUAAAACAAAACAAAUAUUGCUAACGUGGACUAUCGGAGAUCGGUGCUUACACAUGGUGCUCACAAGUGUUAUACACGGAGCGGAGCCUGCCAUUUGGUUGGACAGUAUAGUAUCUUGCUUGGUUAUGGCAGAAUGAUGCGCUCUCCCACAGCAUUUCCACUAGAGGAUUGGAUGCAGCCAAAGGUAGAUAAAGAAAAAAGUUAUUUAUGAGCAAAUAAAUGAGGGGACGAGGACAAACAAAUAUAGGUGAAAGAGGUUUCUUUUGAGGAACGAUACUUGUGCUAUGUUCCGAAGGUAGAUAAAGAAAAAAAGUUAUUUAUGAGCAAAUAAAUGAGGGGACGAGGACAAACAAAUUUAGAUGAAAGAGGUUCCUUUGAGGAACGGCACUUGUGCUAUGUUACACUGAAGUUUUCUGUGCCGAAUCGCAUUCACUUGGAUACUAAUAUUAAUAUAUAUGAGCCUAGUAACUGAAUGACGUGAUCUUGUCUUAAGCACCAUGUCUAAAGCCAGAUUGCUGGUUUAACAGAAUAGGAAAUGGUGCUUGUGCAUAACCAGCGCGUACAUUGUUUUGGCCUCUUUGUAUAAAGUUGUAGAGUGUGGCCGGUGCCGUCUCCAUUUUCUGGGAGACAGCAUUAUGUGAAGCUUCCAUUUAGGUGUUGCAUUUUGAUGCCUUGAUGUGAAGGUGCAAAUUUGUACUACCUGAUUUCUUGUUUCUUUUCCAUGUGUGAAGAGAGAUUUAGCUCAUUUCUGUAUAAUAUUCAAUCUCCAGUUAUAUGCUUGUAUUUUUGGGGGAAAUCAAGAAGGGCUGAAAAUGACAUAUUGACAUUAUAUGUUGUUCAUAAAAUAAUAUAAUAUGUUAGUUUUCUUUGA
Molecule: RNA transcript, 1754 nt
Organism: Salvia hispanica
Lineage: Eukaryota; Viridiplantae; Streptophyta; Magnoliopsida; Lamiales; Lamiaceae
Gene name: RNA-binding protein 1-like
Source: RefSeq, a predicted model, not a curated record